RNAcentral lists this ribosomal RNA (417 nucleotides) under Actinomycetes bacterium. RNAcentral describes it as "Actinobacteria bacterium partial 16S ribosomal RNA". It matches the Rfam family "Bacterial small subunit ribosomal RNA", at positions 355 to 776 of the family's 1533-position model. The record is from RNAcentral. Lineage: Bacteria; Bacillati; Actinomycetota; Actinomycetes.
UGGGGAAUAUUGCACAAUGGGCGCAAGCCUGAUGCAGCGACGCCGCGUGGGGGAUGACGGCCUUCGGGUUGUAAACUCCUUUCGCUAUCGACGAAGCCACCUUGGGUGGUGACGGUAGGUAGAUAAGAAGCACCGGCUAACUACGUGCCAGCAGCCGCGGUAAUACGUAGGGUGCAAGCGUUGUCCGGAAUUACUGGGCGUAAAGAGCUCGUAGGUGGUUUGUCGCGUCGUCUGUGGAAUCCCGGGGCUUAACUUCGGGCGUGCAGGCGAUACGGGCAUAACUUGAGUGCUGUAGGGGAGACUGGAAUUCCUGGUGUAGCGGUGAAAUGCGCAGAUAUCAGGAGGAACACCGAUGGCGAAGGCAGGUCUCUGGGCAGUAACUGACGCUGAGGAGCGAAAGCAUGGGUAGCGAACAGG